Long non-coding RNA from Corythoichthys intestinalis (scribbled pipefish), 6052 nucleotides. RefSeq lists it as uncharacterized. The transcript has 3 exons. NCBI's taxonomy places the organism in Eukaryota, Metazoa, Chordata, Actinopteri, Syngnathiformes, Syngnathidae. The record is from RefSeq and is a predicted model, not a curated record.
UGACAAGAUGUGAAGGCUGAACAAGGAUUUUCAAGGACAAGGAAUCUUGUACAUCCUGAAUAUAUAUAUUUUUUAGAAUGAUAAAAAUAAGCUUGCAAUUUUUUUUCACAAUGAAAAAAUAACCCAAAUUCUUAUAAAAGUAUUUUUUGUUGUGUAUAUAGAGCUGUUAGAAAACUGGAUAUGAAGCAAAGCUUAGUCUAGGUUAAAACAAAUGUCGCACAAUACUCUCUGUUGACCAACAUUCAAAGCAACCCCUGAGAUCAUUUAAUAUGAACACUUUAUCAGAAAAUCUUAAAGGUUACCUUGCAUUAUAAUUUUUAUGUAUUAUUUUAUUAUAAUCAUUAUUCAUAACCUUUGAUGUCAUUUUGUCAGAUUUGGAAGACAAUUUGUGUUGAAAAUGUGCAGAAUGCUCUUUUAUUUUUAUUGUUUUUUAAAAAGCUAUUUUAGUUGUUUGUUUUUUGCUUGAUUGUGAACGGUCAGAUUCUUAUGUAACUGACUGGAUCAAUUUGGAAUAUUUAACAUUAACUCUAUUCGUGCUGAUUAAUCAUUGAUCAGUAGGUGUGCCAGUGUGUAGGUGCUUACAUUAAAUGGUCUUGUGGCCAUUGGCGAACUAGCACGUAGGAAGCACAAAGUGGGCCGGUACUUGCAUAAUAAGUUGCAAUACGACGUCACACUGUCAACAAUUUAAAAUCACAGUCGUUUGGUGAGCAUUUUGACUUUCAAAAGCAAUUGCAAUCAAAGCAAAAACUACAUGCUUGACAAAUUAUAAACCAGGUAACACAAUUAUUUUGAUCUGUCUAUUGAGCUGUUCGUUUGGAUUUCAGCCGAUGAACAGCUGCAGCUGUUAUAGUUGAAUGUUACCCCUACUCAGAUGGUUAUGCAAGUCAAACCAACCGAUGUUACAUAAAGUCUUUAAUCGCAGCUACAACAGAGAACGAGACCCUAAUGAAAACAUCCAUCCAUCCAUCCAUCCAUCCAUCCAUCCAUCCAUCCAUCCAUCCAUCCAUCCAUCCAUCCAUCCAUCCAUCCAUCCAUCCAUCCAUCCAUCCAUCCAUCCAUCCAUCCAUCCAUCCAUCCAUCCAUCCAUCCAUCCAUCCAUCCAUCCAUCCAUCCAUCCCUAUCUAUCUAUCUAUCUAUCUAUCUAUCUAUCUAUCUAUCUAUCUAUCUAUCUAUCUAUCUAUCUAUCUAUCUAUCUAUCUAUCUAUCUAUCUAUCUAUCUAUCUAUCUAUCUAUCUAUCUAUCUAUCUAUCUAUCUAUCUAUCUAUCUAUCUAUCUAUCUAUCUAUCUAUCUAUCUAAUCCAUACAGCCAUCCAUUUUCUCCCGUUUAUGCAAUUCAGCUUAAACAGUGAGUUUUAGAUUUGAUGCAACUCACCCAAAAAAUGUGUUUACUUGAACCUCUUAUUCUAAAAUUAAGAAUUUAAACACAGGCAAAACCAGAAAAAACUAAUUCAUUAUCAAUAAGUGUGUGGCUAUGCGGUUUAACCUUAGCGUGACUGUUUAAGAUUAGGGAAACAAAACACAAACCAAGUGAAACAAAUGCUCCAUCCGCACGUGUCCCAGACUGUCUUUCUUAACAUCAUCAGCUGCGUCAGUUUAUGUUUGGCCUUUUUGACACAGUUAAUGAGGGCCUCUGGUGGUCGCAGUCAUUAUAACUGCUGCCAGUUGGGAAGUGGUAGUGAAUGAAAUCUACAAGUCAACUAAUGGGUGCGAGAAAAUGUGGGUCAAAGUAAAAUAAAAAGAGAAAAUGUGUUAAACUAUCGUGCUCACGCAUGCCAUGGCAUGUCUAAAAACUAAAGAAUGAGUGAUUUCAGGCAUCAUCUAUUAUAGUCUGAUGCAGAUGGACAAUGCACAGUAUGGCCUCAUGCUUACAUACUGUAUGCAUUUGUACUUAUCUCAGUUUAGAUCAGCUUAUGAAAUUUUUACCAUCAUCCUGUCAGUUGUCCGCAGAGCAAUAAACUGCUAUGUGCCUCCGUUUCUGCGGAUCCCCUCCUCCCGAUACCGUUUUUCUCUAUCUCUCCCUCACUUAAGUGUGUGCCAGAGGGAAGCCUCCCUGUGGAGCCCAUUAGAGUGGGUUUGAACUUGUCGUGUUGAUUCUAGUCUUAGAUGAGUUUGCAGACAAAAAAGAGCCAAGCUUACGUCAAAGACAUAAAAGAGCUGGCAGUAGGGGAAAAUAGGCCAAGAAGAGGUUGCAAUGAUCCACACAAGAGUGGCAAUUAAGAAGAGAGAAAGGGGUGAUGAGUCAAACACAUUCACAUGACUGACAGAACUAGACCCAUUAAUCACUUCUAAGCCGAGGCAUGACAAGGCAGGUUGUAAAGGGAAAACGGAAGAAAGAAGAGGAUGAUGAGAUAUGACAAGUUAAAGAACAGGAAUUCAGUGAAGGAAUUAGGUGAAAUGAAUUUGUCACAAGCUUUCAACCAGUAACAUCCUUUGCUUAAUAUGAGACCAAUAAAAGAUUUUUACCCUUUCUUUUUAAUAGUAAGUCUGUCAAAAAAGUUCAUUUGUAUUAUAAACUGCAGUUUAUUUAUUUUAUUUUUUGCAGCCCUCUGAGCAACCAGGCAGGUCCGCAGGCACUAGAGCUGCUCCUAUUAAUAGUUUACCCCCGCUUCAGUUCGUACAAUGAAAAAGUAAAGUGGCUUUGUAGUUCUUUCAAUUAGUUAAAGGUCAAGCGGUCAUCGUCCAUGACCCUUUCACUCUCAGUGUCAUGUCAAGUCAGUGUUCUGUAGAAGCACAAAACUUUCAGCCAUUCGGACUCUACCAAGAAGAGAGCAUGGAAUCCAAUGGAUAAAAAUAAAUGUUAUCAAGCUGGGAGUACAUCACAUCCUCCACCAAAAUCAUAAACUGUCAUCUGAUCAAUGGUGAAGACAACACACAUUCAAAAGACCAUCAACAGAAUGGAUGCUUUAAGGAGCUGGAGCAUAUCUUAUCUUACAUUGUGGAAUAGGCAGUUGACACCCCGGAUCCCUGUCGCCAGUAAUUCUCUGGGCAUACAGAGAGAGACAACCUUCCACACUUUCACUGAGUGGGAAUUCAAUCAAUGCUGUCUGAAUGAAAAGAUCUCCAGCAUUGAUCUUGAAAAGUUCUUGAUAAAGAGUGACUGAACGCAGGACGCUGGGGCGACCACCGUUUCCCCUUAUCAAACUAUUUGGGACCAUGAACAUUUUUCUUCUCUUUCUGAGAUUAAAACCUUGGCACAUUGCUGUCGAGCAAUGCAACAAGCAACAAAGUGUUUCGCUGGAAGGCUGAAUGCAAUUGGUGAAAAUGUCACAUCACAUUGUAGACACCACUACACAUGCAUGAUUAAUAUAGCUCACUUUUUUCUUAAUGUUUUUCAGGGUGUCAAUAUUUUGUUUUGUUACAAACAUUCAGAGACUUCUUAAUCAAAAAUCUGUGAAGGUUUUGGCACAGAUUAACAAUACGAUUCUCCUGUAUAUAAUAAGACACCUGUGGAAUAACAUCAUUAAAAUAACAAGAUGAUAUGUGAUAGUUGUUUGUCCUAUUAAGUUUUGUAUAGUUUUCUUUAACCCUUGCACAUGUUUUAGUGUCCUCAUAUUAUACAAAGAAAGAAAACAAAAAUCCAGGCUAGAUAAGGAACACGGUGAAGAGGCAAGGCCGAUUUGUGAAAUUCAUUUCAUCCCCAGGGGCAAACCCAAAUCACUUUAUUGAGUAUGGCAGAGGAAAGAAACAAAAACAAAAGACAUUAGCAAGAGAGAGCAGACAAAGUAGGCGCUUUCUAAUUUCUCUUCUGAAUAUCUUUAUUGUCAAGUCUUGUUUUACUCAGAGGCCUAGGAAGAGGUUGUAGACUGGAGGGGGGGUGUUUUCUGUAUGAAAUAUGUACGGUACUAUGUAAACAAAUAAAUUGAUGAAUUUUAUUAAUUCAUCACUAGAUGCUUGACAUGUUCUUAUCCAUAGAACAAAUUACAAGCAACUAAUAUUUUAUAUGUACUGUCAAAGAAUUUUAUAAACAAAUCAUGUAUACUGUGUUAUAUGUAUGUAUCUAAUAUGACACAGAUAUUGAAUCGGUGAAAACACAUAACGUUUGAACUGACUGCCUUAUGAUGUUACAGCAACAUUUGUAUAGGAGUCUAUUUACAAUAACAUACUGUAGAUGCCAAGAUGUCUGCAUUCCAUUCCUCUGAGACCUUCUUUUUCAUAUGAUAUAUUUAAAGUUUAUUAUGGCCCUUUUGCACUUUCCCCUAAAUUUAUUUAGUCACUGAUCAAAGUCAAAUAUUUGUAACAGUCAAUCAAAAAUCAUAUUGCUGUUGAAAUUCAAAUCACACAUUUAAUACGAAAGGUUAACUUGCUUUCCUGGAUUUAACCUCUUUUAAGAUGAAUUUUCCCCUCAUGCCAUGUCAAAGUAAUAAUAAUAAGAAAAAGUCAGACAAAAUACGAUCGUCGAACCAUUUUACUUUUUGUCAUUCACUCUGUGCUUGAAUGCACAUCAAGAAAUAUGUUGGUGUGAAUGAAUGGUGUGGAUGUUGAAGUUUUUUUUUCUUGAUGGAAGGAGAAAAAUACUCGUUUUUAAAAAGCAAGCCCUACUACGUGUGGACAUGGCCUUAAUUGUAACCAGGAAAUGUCUCUCCAAACAGCAAAUGAGUAGAAAUAGGCGAGAUAUGUGAUGGAUAUUACAAAGUACACACGCUAUGUAUACAAAAUAUCUACUCUAUCUUGAAGACACAACAGCUUGCAUUCAAGGUCGCACUGCCAGGCUGAUAUAGUUCACAGCACUAGGAAGAAAAACAUGAAACCAUUUUCAAACCUUGAGAAUGACAUCAAUGCACAAUUAAUCAUGUUCUUGCUGUGGUUACGAUAUUUUAAUUAUACCAUCAUGGGUUUCCAGAGCAAGUUGCUCACAUGUUGUUUUGGGGGAACUCAGGAUGACCUUCAUGAUGCAACUCACCCAUUGUUGUAUGUGGUUUUGGGACCGACUUUGGUUGGUUAUUGGUGCACUAACCUAAUGGUACAGCAUACAAUAACAACAACAACAAAAAAUUAAAUAAAAUAUUAUUGCCAAGUAGAGAAUGUAUUUCUCAUUUUCUGUACCAGGAACAUCAGGACUUCAGUCAUACACAACGUGAUUGUGUAUAAGACCUGGAAACCAAUCUAGCUGCAUGAAAUUAAGGGGCUGUUUAAAUGGUGAAGCUGCGACACCAAGACGCGACGAUUCUGUUGUGGAAUGGACUAGCUUAUACACGGUGAAGGCGAAACCGGAAGGCGAAGACUUUUGCUUCCGGCCUCCAAAGCGGAAGGAUUCGAUUGUGGGACUUGCUCUGCAACCAUAUGAAUGGAUCGCUCCCGCUCUGAGGAUGUCAGCACUCGCACACAUGGGCAUACGCAGUUGCUGCUAGUCAAUAUUCAAACAGCAAACAUGGUGGAACGUCGGCUUUAAUUCACUGUUUUUAUCAUAAUUUCAAUUUAAAUAUAUUUUAUGUUCGGAAUAUUGUGCCUUUUGAAGCAAAACAAAAAAACGCGUGGAUGCCAUUUUUUGGUGUGGGCGGGUAUUUUUUGAGGGGAAGUGGGCGUGUAUGUUGUCUUACAGGCUUAGGAGGUUGUUUUCAAGGAACUGCAUCAUUGGCUGUCACCUUGUAAAACUGCAUUGCCUCCUGGGGCCCAGCAUGAAUACUACAUCGUUUUCACGUGAAAUUGCUACAUCGUUUGAAUGGAGACGGAACCAUGUAAAUGCAAACAUGAAAUGUGUUAUAUUCUCAAAGCGUCACCAUGUAAACGGCCCGUAGGUUCCUUGAACCACUAUACCAGGAGUACCCAAUUCCAGUCUUCGAGUGCCCCUACCCAGCUUCUUUUCCAUGUCUCCCUCCUUUAACACACCUGAAUCAAAUGAUCAGCUCUUUAAGAGCCUGAUAAUAAUCUUGAUUAUUUGUGUUAUUCCUUUAAUGAUCAGCUCUUUAAGAGCCUGAUAACAAUUCUUAUUAUUUCAAAUUUGAAAAAGAAGGUCCAAAUGAAACCUUUUUUUCAAGUUUGUAAAAAGUCAAAAUGAAUAUGUGUAAUAAGCGCUCAAAUAUCUAUUACCCUUGCUAAAUUCUGUUUUUUUUUU